UGUUGCAACUGAAGAAUCAAA
Caenorhabditis elegans is the source of this 21-nucleotide non-coding RNA. The record is from Ensembl. NCBI's taxonomy places the organism in Eukaryota, Metazoa, Nematoda, Chromadorea, Rhabditida, Rhabditidae.